CCUGAGAGCGGCGAUGGUACGCACGAGCUCGCCUGCUCCUGGUACGUGUGCCAAUCGAACAUCGACGCGUUCGAGACCAUAUUAAAUGUGAUCGUAUAUGUACCCAUCGUAUACGGCCAGGACAACGGCGGCGGGCGGUGACGGAGCCAUGCGAAAUAACGACUGGAGUGGUCCUAUCCCGUCGGUACAUAAUUCUCGGGUCGGUACAUCGUGCUGGACGUCGAACCCGGGACGUCAUGGAAACGGCGCUUCCGAAGGGGAUAAGUGUAGGGUUUCCCUGUGGGUCGACAGGGGAGGAAAAAUAAAUCUGUCCAUUCGAGCGCCGCACGAGGCUAGAAGCUUACAGCUAUGGCGAUGGCGGACGCUGCAGGCGACGGAUUCGAGUUCCUAUCAGAUCCAAUUGACAGAUUCCCAUUGCCGGAUCUCGCCGCCGCCGAAUUCUUUCUGCGCGGCGAAGCAAAUCAAUCUCUUGGGUGCGCCGUCGCUCAAUCUAGCAAUGGUGCUGUUUGGGAUGGCGCAGUGAUAGCACAAGAAGAAUUUGAGAGCGGCUCCAAAAGGAUCGCAAACAUCGAAUUCAGAGCGUUGGACAGCAAGGGCGAUGGACAAGCGGCUGACUCAGCCAACAGGUUUCGCUUGCCGGACCUCACCACCAGUAAAUCAUUGCUGGAUGGCGAAGCAAUGCAAACUUUGGUAUGCGCAGACGCUGAAUCCAGCAUUGGUGAUGUGGGUGAUGGUGAGGCAACAAUACAAGGAGAUGUCAAUAGCACCUGCAGUGGGAUGGCCCUGUCCAUGCCAACCUCAGAACAAUCGACAGGCAAAGACAAUCCUCAAGCACCUAGCUGGAUCAAGAGGAUCAGUGCCCUCGAAAAAACAUUGCAAAGAUAUGCAGAGAAGAAGACUGACACAGUCGUGGUUCCAGCAACAGGUAUCAACUUUGAUUCACUUGGAGAAGCGUAUGAUUGCUACAAUCUCUAUUCCUAGGAGAUUGGAUUUGGAAUAAGGUAUGGCAAGAGCCGGCUUAAUGUCGAAAGAACAAAAUGCAUGCAGGAGAUAGUCUAUGGCUGCACUGGAAUCCCGAAAAGCAGGACAUGCCGAUGCAGAUGCCCUGCAAUGAUACGUUUGCUUCAAUCAGAUGACAGUGGGUGGUACAUAAGUGAGUACAGACCAGAACACAAUCAUGCACACAGAAAAAUGUGGCAAAACGAUGUACUGGCCCUCACACAGACAUAUUGAUGUAUACACAAGGGAUGUUGUUAAACAACUCCGUGAGAAAAAUAUUAGCAUUGGCAAGGUCUACAAUAUAAUUGGUAGUUUCUUCGGUUCAAUGACAAAUGUACCUAUCAGCAAAAGGGCACUGAGAGGACUCUGUAGUAAGAUCAGUCGAGAGCAAGCAGACGAAGAUUUAAAGAAAACCAUGGAUGUUUUUGCCGAAUUGGGAGCAAAAGACUCUGGUCUCUGCUACCGAGUGCAGCCUGAUGAGGAGAGCCGUAUAUGGAAUUUGAUAUGGUUAACUGAAGCAAGGAGGGCACAGUACGAUUAUUUUGGAGAUGCAAUAACAUUUGACCCAACAUACCGCACAAACCUAUAUGAUAUGCCAUUUGGGCUGUUUGUAGGCGUCAAUAAUCACUUCCAGAGUGUGAUCUUUGGCGGCGUGCUAGUCGGAGAUGAAACAGUUGACACUUUCAAGUGGGUAUUCAGUGAAUUCAUUCGCAUGAUGGGGGGAAAACCUCUGCAAACAAUACUCACAGGUGAAUGACCUAUUACUGGAGUUUCUUUUCAUUGCAUAAUGCAAGAAAAACAACAAACAAAAUCGGUGAUAACCAAGGAUGACAUAUUUUUGCUGCUGUAGUAGUCUUGGAAUCCUCUUUUUUUGUCAUAUAACUCUGCCAAAUGCUACUGACAUAAAGAUGUGUCCUUGUGAAUGUGUGGAGAUCAAUGCAGAGCGAUGGAGUUAGCAAUUGAGAAAGUGCUGCCAGACACCACUCACCACUGGUGCAAAUGGCACGUCCUGAAAAAGGCAAAAGAAUAUCUUGGUCCACAUUACACAAAGCACAUCAAAUUCAGGGCAGAAUUCCACAAAAUAAUCCAUCACAUGCUUACGGUUGAUGAGUUCGAGACUGCAUGGAAGCAAGUGACAGAGGCGCACGGUUUGCAAAAACAUGCUUACCUCAUUGGCAUCUAUGAAACUAGAAUGAAAUGGGCAAAACCAUAUUUCAAUGGAAAGUUCUGUGCAAAGAUGACAAGCACACAACGCAGCGAGAGUGCCAAUCAUAUGCUCAAAUGCUAUGUUCCAGCAAGCUGCCCCAUGCAUCUAUUUGUUCGACAAUGCAUGAGACUUCUUUUCGAUAGAGGGGCAAACGAGAACUAUGAGGAGAGACGCACAAAGAUAGUAAGUUGCUGACUCUAUCCUCACUAAUGCAUUGUCUAUAUCUGCAGGUAGCCCCAGUAUUGAAAAUGAAUACACCACUGGAGAUGCACGCUAGCGACAUCUACACCCGAACCAUGGCUGAAAAAUUUGGCGAAGUUAUAUAUGAAGCGGGGCAGUACAAAGUUGAGGAAAUCACUAAAGGGAAAACCUAUUUCGCGAAACGAUACCAUCCAGAGAAACAUGCCAAAUGGUGCAGGGUUUUGUACAAAGUGGAAGUUGUUGACGAAGGAACUGAGCUGAUAUGCGAAUGUGGCAAUUUUGAACACACAUGCUUGCUCUGUUGUCACGCUGUUAAGGUCCUUCGAUUUCCUUGGCAUAGACCAUAUACCAGCAAAGCAUAUGCUGAAGCAGUGGACGAAGGACGCAAGAGAUUUGCUGCCAGCCCACCUGUCGCAUCUUCAGAAGGAUAGCAUUUCUGUGAAUUCAAUAACAUACAGGCACUGAAAUCUGUACACACAUGCACUUGAGGUAGUCAGGCUGGGAGAUGCAAAUCCAGAAGCAUGAGUGUGCAAUGGACAUCCUGAAGGGAGCAGUGGAUAAGCUGACACCACUAGCUGCUGUGCAGGAUGGAAUGGGGCCGGAAGACAAAAAUGAUCAACAUAAGAGAAAAGACAAAGAACCCAUUGCAGCAAUUGCACCCUUGAGCGGACGCUGAAGGGAGUGCAGUGGGGAACUUCGAAGGACUAAGUCCUCCAAAACGAAAACGAAAAGCCGGUCGACCAACCACAAGCAGGGACAAGACUCCAUAUGAUGUUCGGGGUGCAAGAAAUACAAGCGGCCAGCAAAUGCACAAGAUGCAGAGAGAUGUGCUACCAGCAAGCGCACUCGCUUCUGUAGUAUAUGCCGGGAGCCAGGGCACAAGAGCAGCACAUGCCCACUGCAAGGAGAUCUUCGUCGAAAGGAAAGGAAAGAGGCAAAAUGCUCAAACUGUGGUGUCGGUGGACACAGGUGAAACACAUGCAACAAGCCGAAAGUUGUUGUGCACGUGAUCGAGAAAAUAGCUUUGGAAACGAAUUUACCUUAGUUUGUGUUUCUGCAAACUCUGUUCUUGAGGGCUCUGCAGCCAAUACUUAGGAAUCUGUGUAAUAAAAACCAUCUACCGUGCUAUGUGUUGUACUUGGCACUAUUGUCGUUUUAAGGACUGAAUCAUUUUCAC
This 3584-nucleotide ribosomal RNA is filed under the name Triticum aestivum (bread wheat). RNAcentral's name for it is "partial small subunit ribosomal RNA". Lineage: Eukaryota; Viridiplantae; Streptophyta; Magnoliopsida; Poales; Poaceae. The record is from RNAcentral.